AUACUUACCUGGCAGUGGAGAGACCACGAUCAAGAAGGUGGUUCUUCCAGGGUGAGGUUUCUCCAUUGCAGUUCGGGGGGGAGGGUUUGACCCUUGUAAUUUCCCCUAAUGCAGGACACUCAACUGCAUAAUUUAUGGUAGUGGGGGACUGCAUUUGCACUGUCCCCUG
This is a small nuclear RNA of Protopterus annectens (West African lungfish), 169 nucleotides long. RefSeq annotates it as U1 spliceosomal RNA. The record is from RefSeq and is a predicted model, not a curated record. The transcript has a single exon. Lineage: Eukaryota; Metazoa; Chordata; Ceratodontiformes; Protopteridae.